CCUACGGGUGGCAGCAGUGAGGAAUAUUGGUCAAUGGACGAGAGUCUGAACCAGCCAAGUAGCGUGAAGGAGGAAUGCCCUGUGGGUUGUAAACUUCUUUUAUCAAGGAAUAAAACGUGGCACGUGUGCCUGUUUGCAUGUACUUUAUGAAUAAGGAUCGGCUAACUCCGUGCCAGCAGCCGCGGUAAUACGGAGGAUCCGAGCGUUAUCCGGAUUUAUUGGGUUUAAAGGGAGCGUAGAUGGGUUGUUAAGUCAGUUGUGAAAGUCUGCGGCUCAACCGUAAAAUUGCAAUUGAUACUGGCAGUCUUGAGUACAGUUGAGGUAAGCGGAAUGCGUGGUGUAGCGGUGAAAUGCUUAGAUAUCGCGAAGAACUCCGAUUGCGAAGGCAGCUUACUAAACUGUGACUGACACUGAGGCUCGAAAGUGUGGGUAUCAAACAGGAUUAGAUACCCCAGUAGUC
This 460-nucleotide ribosomal RNA is filed under the name uncultured bacterium. Its description in RNAcentral is "partial 16S ribosomal RNA". It matches the Rfam family "Bacterial small subunit ribosomal RNA", at positions 338 to 795 of the family's 1533-position model. The record is from RNAcentral.